Molecule: ribosomal RNA, 433 nt
Filed under: uncultured bacterium
Lineage: Bacteria
Description: partial 16S ribosomal RNA
Rfam family: Bacterial small subunit ribosomal RNA
Source: RNAcentral
AACGAACGCUGGCGGCAUGCCUAACACAUGCAAGUCGAACGAGACCUUCGGGUCUAGUGGCGCACGGGUGCGUAACGCGUGGGAACCUGCCCUUAGGUUCGGAAUAACUCCCCGAAAGGGGUGCUAAUACCGGAUAAUGUCUUCGGACCAAAGAUUUAUCGCCUUUGGAUGGGUCCGCGUUGGAUUAGCUAGUUGGUAGGGUAAAUGCCUACCAAGGCGACGAUCCAUAGCUGGUCUGAGAGGAUGAUCAGCCACACUGGGACUGAGACACGGCCCAGACUCCUACGGGAGGCAGCAGUGGGGAAUAUUGGACAAUGAGCGAAAACCUGAUCCAGCAAUGCCGCGUGAGUAAUGAAGGCCUUAGGGUUGUAAAGCUCUUUUACCCGGGAUGAUAAUGACAGUACCGGGAGAAUAAGCUCCGGCUAACUCCGUG